Christensenella minuta is the source of this 87-nucleotide regulatory RNA element. It matches the Rfam family "pemK RNA". NCBI's taxonomy places the organism in Bacteria, Bacillati, Bacillota, Clostridia, Christensenellales, Christensenellaceae. The record is from Rfam.
AUAAUGAUACUCCCGCCCAGCCACAGCUUAUCACGCAAUGGGGGCGGUUGCAUGAGAACCAUGCAAGGGGGCAACAUAACCCCGUGG